Molecule: transfer RNA, 72 nt
Filed under: Crocinitomicaceae bacterium
Lineage: Bacteria; Pseudomonadati; Bacteroidota; Flavobacteriia; Flavobacteriales; Crocinitomicaceae
Description: tRNA-Thr
Rfam family: tRNA
About the family: Transfer RNA (tRNA) molecules are approximately 80 nucleotides in length. Their secondary structure includes four short double-helical elements and three loops (D, anti-codon, and T loops). Further hydrogen bonds mediate the characteristic L-shaped molecular structure. tRNAs have two regions of fundamental functional importance: the anti-codon, which is responsible for specific mRNA codon recognition, and the 3' end, to which the tRNAs corresponding amino acid is attached (by aminoacyl-tRNA synthetases). tRNAs cope with the degeneracy of the genetic code in two manners: having more than one tRNA (with a specific anti-codon) for a particular amino acid; and 'wobble' base-pairing, i.e. permitting non-standard base-pairing at the 3rd anti-codon position.
Source: RNAcentral
CCGAUGUAGCUCAGCUGGCUAGAGCAGCUGAUUUGUAAUCAGCAGGUCGUGGGUUCGAGUCCCUCCAUCGGC